RNAcentral lists this ribosomal RNA (595 nucleotides) under uncultured bacterium. RNAcentral describes it as "bacterial SSU rRNA". It matches the Rfam family "Bacterial small subunit ribosomal RNA", at positions 59 to 687 of the family's 1533-position model. The record is from RNAcentral.
AAGUCGGAGGUGAAGCAGGGCUUCGGCCCUGUGGAAACUGGCGCACGGGUGAGUAACGCGUGGGAAUCUACCCCGGGGUGGGGAAUAACCGCUGGAAACGGCGGCUAAUACCGCAUACGCCUUGAGAGGGAAAGCUUUAUGCGCCCUGGGAUGAGCCCGCGUCGGAUUAGCUUGUUGGUGAGGUAACGGCUCACCAAGGCUUCGAUCCGUAGCUGGUCUGAGAGGAUGAUCAGCCACACUGGGACUGAGACACGGCCCAGACUCCUACGGGAGGCAGCAGUGGGGAAUAUUGGACAAUGGGGGAAACCCUGAUCCAGCCAUGCCGCGUGCGUGAAGAAGGCCUUAGGGUUGUAAAGCGCUUUCGGCGGGGAAGAUGAUGACGGUACCCGCAGAAGAAGCCCCGGCUAACUCCGUGCCAGCAGCCGCGGUAAUACGGAGGGGGCAAGCGUUGUUCGGAAUUACUGGGCGUAAAGGGCGCGUAGGCGGACAAUCAAGUCAGAGGUGAAAGCCCUGGGCUCAACCUAGGAACUGCCUUUGAAACUGACAGUCUAGAGUCCGAGAGAGGAUGGCGGAAUUCCCAGUGUAGAGGUGAAAU